This 756-nucleotide non-coding RNA is filed under the name Cyana sp. MT-2014. The record is from RNAcentral. Lineage: Eukaryota; Metazoa; Arthropoda; Insecta; Lepidoptera; Erebidae.
GAAAUAAUUUAUUAAAAAUUUAUUUUACAUAUAAAUUUUAGUAUUAUAAUUUAUUUAAAAAAUAAAUUAAUUAUAUUGUAGUAAUUAAUAUUAAAUAUUUAAGUAAUUAAGAUUUAGUAAUAUAAAAAUUAAUAACAAAUUUUGUGCCAGCAGUUGCGGUUAUACAAAAGUUAAAAUAAAUUUUAUUAGUUAAUUAAAAAAUAAAAUAAUAAUAAUUUAAAAUUUAAAUUAUUAGGUGAAAUUUUAAUUUAAUAAAAUAUUAUAAAGAUUUUAUGUUUUAAUAAUUUUUUUAAAAGACUAGGAUUAGAUACCCUAUUAUGAAAAAUUAAAAUUAUAAUACUAAAAUAGUAUAUAUAUAUAUAUAAUUGAAACUUAAAUAAUUUGGCGGUAUUUUAGUUCAUUUAGAGGAAUCUGUUUAUUAAUUGAUAAUCCACGAAUAAAUUUACUUAAUUUAUAAUUUUGUAUAUCGUUGUUAAAAAAAUAUUUUUUAAUAAAAAUAAUAUUUUAAAAUUAAUAAUUUAAAUUAAAUCAGAUCAAGAUGCAGAUAAUAAUUAAGAAUAAAAUGGAUUACAAUAAUUUUAUUUAAAUGAAAAUUUAUAUGAAAAAUGAAUUGAAGGUGGAUUUAAAUGUAAUUUUAUUUAAAUUAUUAAAAUGAUUAGAAUUUAAGAUAUGUACAUAUUGCCCGUCGCUUUCAUAUAAUAAAAUUGAAAUAAGUCGUAACAAAGUAGAAGUACUGGAAAGUGUUUCUAGAAAGAC